RNAcentral lists this ribosomal RNA (328 nucleotides) under uncultured eukaryote. RNAcentral's name for it is "partial 18S ribosomal RNA". It matches the Rfam family "Eukaryotic small subunit ribosomal RNA", at positions 1470 to 1796 of the family's 1831-position model. The record is from RNAcentral.
CCCUUAGACGUUCUGGGCCGCACGCGCGCUACACUGACCAGUGCAACAAGCAUCCGUCCUUGGCCGACAGGCUCGGGCAAUCUUUGAACGCUGGUCGUGAUGGGGAUAGACUUUUGCAAUUUUUGGUCUUCAACGAGGAAUGCCUAGUAAGCGCAAGUCAUCAGCUUGCGUUGAUUACGUCCCUGCCCUUUGUACACACCGCCCGUCGCUCCUACCGAUUGAAUGGUCCGGUGAAGCGUUCGGACCGUGGCCUUUGGACGGUUCGCCGUCUGUUGGCUGCGGGAAGUUCGUUAAACCUUAUCAUUUAGAGGAAGGAGAAGUCGUANCA